GGAGUAUUUAUGCUUCUAUUUGAGUGCCCAUCCAAUCGGUGCAAAUAGCGAAAGGGAACCUUAUUCUCCAACUCGGAGCAAUUAAGUUUUUGAAAUUUCGGGAGGUUUUGCUUUAAGUUUUUUUAUAACGAUUUAAGAAAAAAUACCAUUUAUGCAUACGAGUUUUGUUUACAUGAAUUUAACAUUGAUUUCCGGCCAAAAUUCAAGCGCUAGCUGAACAUAUUUCGAAAGGUCAUAUUCCUCAAUCGAUGACUGUUCAUUUUAGAGAACUUACCAGGAAGGUUGGUGAUAUUUGACUUUUCUACUUUCUUUCUAAAGGAACCAUAUCAUAAUUUGCAUGUAUAGCUACAAAUUCUUGUUCAUAGCAUUUGGGGCUAGGCUGGAUUCUUUAUUAUGCAGUAUAUUCUUUUUAAAGCAUUGUUUUAUUGAAAUGCAUAUUUUCGAAAUACAAAACUUGUCAUUUUCUGAGUAACUCCACUGUAUCAGAGCUAAUUUCAAAAAGAGGAAUAGUGGACUAUGUAGUUACUGUUUUAUUUGUUAGAGCAAAAUUUUCUUGGUAGGUGCUUUUGAUGGUUCCAGUACUCAUUGCUGUUCUUGUACAUGUUAAUGUGUGUCCUACACAUGCAAUAUAGCUUGUUUGCUUGUAGAGUUCUCUAAUGCUCGAACUCUUCAAAAAAGUUGGAGUACUCGUGUCAAAUAUGAUACGACAUAGGUAUGGGUAUGAGAUAUGUGUUGGAUUCUCCAGAUUUCAAUCGGAUACUAAAACGUUUUUGUCGCUUCUUUUUUUUUUUCCUUCUCCUUUUCUUUCUUGUUUCUGCUAUCUAUAAAUCUAACGUCACCUCUGAGAGAGUGGAGAAAGGCGAUAGCGCUAUAUUUUCCCUUCUUCUUCUUAUUUCUUUCCAUUUUUUUUUUCUUUUCUUUCCUUCUUUUCCUCUCUGUAUCAGUGGUAUAAGGUUUUGUUUGUAUAAAAUGAAAAAGGGUUCCAUAUAAUGUUACUUAGUGCUCUACUAAGUCAAAAUGACAAUCAAGU
Molecule: long non-coding RNA, 1030 nt
Filed under: Olea europaea subsp. europaea
Lineage: Eukaryota; Viridiplantae; Streptophyta; Magnoliopsida; Lamiales; Oleaceae
Source: RNAcentral